GGUUGGAAUAAAUGCAGAUGCUGCAAAUUGAUGGAGGCCUGGUGUCUUCCAGAGUGGAGGUAAAGGCUGGCUGAGGAAUCAGUGAGGCCAGGAAGAGGGCUCAGCUGAGCAACUGAUCAAAGCAUCCCUCUUCAGGAAGGAGCUUCCUGUGUUUUCUCUGGGAACUCACCUGUUUUCCACUCCAGGCUCUCCAAGAUAUGCAGAGCUUUGGGCCAGGAUCCUACAGCCACGGGUCAUGCAGAGCCAGUUGGCCACAUCCUUUGGGGCAAAUUUGGUCCUAACCAGGUCUUACCACGGUAACUGCUAACCAGUCCAUCUUCAGUUAAUAUUUCAUGCGUAAGAUGUUUCAUGAAGUAACUGAAUGGGCUAAUGGGUUGUUCACUGGAUAAGACUCCCAGAUACUCCCUUUCAUGCCAUUCCCCAGAAUUCCUUCACCUCCCAGUGCUGUCUGUAAGGGUGAAGAUACUCCAUUUUGCCCCAUGCUCUUUGCUGUGCCCCAGAUAGGCUCAAACAUUUUUCCCUUUUGGGGAUUUUGC
This 536-nucleotide long non-coding RNA is filed under the name Homo sapiens (human). RNAcentral describes it as "HSALNT0227534". The record is from RNAcentral. Lineage: Eukaryota; Metazoa; Chordata; Mammalia; Primates; Hominidae.